GAUUGCAACCACGGCACAGGUGCCAGCGCAAGCUGGCGAAUAGGGAAUUCGGUGCCGCCGCGCGAUCCGCGCGGCCAUUCCGAAGCUGCCCCCGCAACUGUCAGCGGUGAGCCGUUGUCCACAAGGCCACUGAGCAAAGGCUUUUCAGCCGCGCUUGGGAAGGCGGACAACGGCGGCGAUCCGCGAGCCAGGAGACCUGCCUGUACCGGUCAUCCUUC
Molecule: non-coding RNA, 218 nt
Filed under: Bradyrhizobiaceae bacterium
Lineage: Bacteria; Pseudomonadati; Pseudomonadota; Alphaproteobacteria; Hyphomicrobiales; Nitrobacteraceae
Source: RNAcentral